GAUCGAGCUACAAAGAGCUAACGGUGGAUACCUAGGCACGCAGCAGCGAAGAAGGACGUAGCGACCAACGAUAUGCUCCGGGGAGCUGGAAGCAAGCAUUGAGCCGGAGGUUUCCCAAUGGGGCAACCCUAAAUACGGUUUACUGAAUACAUAGGUAGACGCGAGCGAACCAGGCGAACUGAAACAUCUUAGUAGCCUGAGGAAGAGAAAACAAAAGUGAUUCCCUCAGUAGCGGCGAGCGAAGGGGGAGUAGCCUAAACCAUCCACUUCGGUAGAUGGGGUAGUGGGACAGCACAACGAGAUUGGGAAAAUUAGACGAAGCAGCUGAAAACUGCACCGGAGAAGGUAAAAGUCCUGUAGUCGAAAAUGGAACCAGAUCAGCUGUAUCCCGAGUAGCACGGAACACGAGAAAUUCCGUGUGAAUCAGCCAGGACCACCUGGUAAGGCUAAAUAUGUCUGGGUGACCGAUAGAGAACAAGUACCGCGAGGGAAAGGUGAAAAGAACCCCGGGAGGGGAGUGAAAUAGAACAUGAAACCGUUAGCUUACAAGCAAUGGGAGUCCGAUUGAACGGAUGACCGUGUGCCUGUUGAAGAAUGAGCCGGCGACUUACAGGCGGUGGCAGGUUAAGGCGUAAUUGCCGAAGCCAAAGCGAAAGCGAGUCCGAAUAGGGCCAUAGUCACUGUUUGUAGACCCGAACCCGGGCGAUCUAACCAUGUCCAGGAUGAAGCUUGGGUAAAGCUAAGUGAAAGUCCGAACCGACCAAUGUUGAAAAAUUGGCGGAUGAGGUGUGGUUAGGGGUGAAAUGCCAAUCGAGCCCGGAGCUAGCUGGUUCUCCCCGAAAUGUGUUUAGGCGCAGCGGUAAAGCAGAUUCAGAUGGGGGUAAAGCACUGUUUCCCUAAGGGCUGCGAGAGCGGUACCAAAGGGAGGCAAACUCAGAAUACCAUUUGAAGCUUUGCCAGUGAGACGGUGGGGGAUAAGCUUCAUCGUCGAGAGGGAAACAGCCCAGACCACCAGCUAAGGUCCCCAAAUGAACUCUAAGUGAGAAAGGAGGUUGGAGUCCCUAGACAACCAGGAGGUUUGCCUAGAAGCAGCAAUCCUUGAAAGAGUGCGUAAUAGCUCACUGGUCAAGGGCACCGGCGCCGAAAAUGAAUGGGGCUAAGAGUUCUACCGAAGCUGUGGACUUACUACGUAAGUGGUAGGGGAGCGUUCUGUGUGGGGUGAAGCACUAGCGGCAAGCAGGUGUGGACGGCACAGAAGUGAGAAUGUCGGCUUAAGUAGCGCAAACAUUGGUGAGAAUCCAAUGCCCCGAAACCCUAAGGGUUCCUCCGGAAGGCUCGUCCGCAGAGGGUAAGUCAGGACCUAAGGCGAGGCCGAAGGGCGUAGUCGAUGGAUAACGGGUUAAUAUUCCCGUACCAUAAAAGGUUGGUACAGGAGGACGAACAAGGUUAAGGCCAUCCGGGUGAUGGAAGUCCCGGUGUAAGUAACUGAGGUGAUGAGAUCUGGCGAAAACAGACUGAGCUGAGGUGCGAGUCCGACAAGCUACGGCUUGGAAGUGGUCAAGGUCAUGGUUCCGAGAAAAGACCUAACUAACAUAAAUCAUUUAUGCCUGUACCCUAAACCGACACAGGUAGGGUGGUAGAGAAUACCGAGGGGCGCGAGUUAACUCUCUCUAAGGAACUCGGCAAAAUUACCCCGUAACUUUGGGAGAAGGGGUGCCCCCCUAGGGGGGUCGCAGUGAAGAGGCCCAGGCGACUGUUUACCAAAAACACAGGUCUCCGCGAAGUCGCAAGACGCAGUAUGGGGGCUGACGCCUGCCCAGUGCCGGAAGGUUAAGGAAGUUGGUCAGUCUUCGGAUAAAGCUAACGACUGAAGCCCCGGUGAACGGCGGCCGUAACUAUAACGGUCCUAAGGUAGCGAAAUUCCUUGUCGGGUAAGUUCCGACCCGCACGAAAGGCGUAACG
Molecule: ribosomal RNA, 1962 nt
Filed under: Prochloron sp. SP5CPC1
Lineage: Bacteria; Bacillati; Cyanobacteriota; Cyanophyceae; Chroococcales; Prochloraceae
Description: partial 23S ribosomal RNA
Rfam family: Bacterial large subunit ribosomal RNA
Source: RNAcentral